Molecule: ribosomal RNA, 755 nt
Filed under: Microbotryum silenes-inflatae
Lineage: Eukaryota; Fungi; Basidiomycota; Microbotryomycetes; Microbotryales; Microbotryaceae
Description: LSU rRNA
Rfam family: Eukaryotic large subunit ribosomal RNA
Source: RNAcentral
AAGAAACUAACCAGGAUUCCCUAGUAACGGCGAGUGAAGCGGGAAAGCUCAAWUUUGUAAUCUGGCGCCUUUUGGCGUCCGAGUUGUAWUCUCGAGAAGUAUUUUCCGCGCUGGACCGCACAUAAGUCUGUUGGAAUACAGCGUCMUAGUGGGUGAGAACCCCGUAUAGGGUGCGGAUGCCCAGUGCUUUGUGAUCUACUUUCGAAGAGUCGAGUUGUUUGGGAAUGCAGCUCAAAUUGGGUGGUAAAUUCCAUCUAAAGCUAAAUAUUGGCGAGAGACCGAUAGCGAACAAGUACCGUGAGGGAAAGAUGAAAAGCACUUUGGAAAGAGAGUUAACAGUACGUGAAAUUGUUGGAAGGGAAACGCUUGAAGUCAGACUUGCAUUUUGGAGUUCAGCCGCAAGGUGUAUUCUUCAAUUCGCAGGCCAGCAUCAGUUUUUGGGGGUGGAAAAGCGUGGUUUGAAGGUAGCAGCUUCGGCUGUGUUAUAGCUUUCCACUGGAUUCACUUUUGGGGACUGAGGAACGCAGUACGCUUUUUGCAAGAUCUUCGGAUCUUUCGUACUUAGGAUGCUGGUGGAAUGGCUUUAAACGACCCGUCUUGAAACACGGACCAAGGAGUCUAACAUGUUUGCGAGUGUUUGGGUGUUAAACCCGGACGCGUAAUGAAAGUGAAUGGAGGUGGGAUCCGCAAGGUGCACCAUCGACCGAUCUGGAUUUUCUAAGAUGGAUUUGAGUAAGAGCAAUUAUGUUGGGACC